Molecule: ribosomal RNA, 412 nt
Filed under: uncultured Actinomycetes bacterium
Lineage: Bacteria; Bacillati; Actinomycetota; Actinomycetes
Description: bacterial SSU rRNA
Rfam family: Bacterial small subunit ribosomal RNA
Source: RNAcentral
CAAGGCUUGACAUAUACCGCAAAGCAUCAGAGAUGGUGCCCCCCUUGUGGUCGGUAUCCAGGUGGUGCAUGGCUGUCGUCAGCUCGUGUCGUGAGAUGUUGGGUUAAGUCCCGCAACGAGCGCAACCCUUGUUCUGUGUUGCCAGCAUGCCCUUCGGGGUGAUGGGGACUCACAGGAGACUGCCGGGGUCAACUCGGAGGAAGGUGGGGACGACGUCAAGUCAUCAUGCCCCUUAUGUCUUGGGCUGCACACGUGCUACAAUGGCCGGUACAAUGAGCUGCGAUGCCGCGAGGCGGAGCGAAUCUCAAAAAGCCGGUCUCAGUUCGGAUUGGGGUCUGCAACUCGACCCCAUGAAGUCGGAGUUGCUAGUAAUCGCAGAUCAGCAUUGCUGCGGUGAAUACGUUCCCGGGCU